GUGAACGCUGGCGGUGCGCCUAACACAUGCAAGUCGAGUGGGUUCAGACCCACGGCGAACGGCUGCGUAACACGUUGGUACCUGCCUCGAACUCAGGGAUAUCCCGCCGAAAGGCGGAGUAAUACCGGAUGCCCUCGCAAGAGGAAAGAUUUAUCGGUUCGAGAGGGGCCUGCGGCCUAUCAGGUAGUUGGUAAGGUAACGGCUUACCAAGCCUAUGACGGGUAGCUGGUCUGAGAGGACGACCAGCCAGAAUGGAACUGAGACACGGUCCAUACUCCUACGGGAGGCAGCAGUGAGGAAUCUUCCGCAAUGGGCGAAAGCCUGACGGAGCGACACCGCGUGGAGGAUGAAGCCCUAUCCGGGCGUAAACUCCUGUUCUGAGGGACGAAAUUUUUGACGGUACCUCAGGAGAAAGCAUCGGCUAACCCUGU
This 431-nucleotide ribosomal RNA is filed under the name uncultured bacterium. RNAcentral describes it as "bacterial SSU rRNA". It matches the Rfam family "Bacterial small subunit ribosomal RNA", at positions 29 to 506 of the family's 1533-position model. The record is from RNAcentral.